CAAAGACAAUCACAACAGGUGUAGACGGUCCGCGUAUUAAACGUCACCAGGGGAAUAAAACGAUGAAUUCCCCCCGUUUCGACGAACGGAGGAAAGACCAGCUGAUCUGACCCGACCUGACAACUAAACCAAAAUACAACAUAAUCCAGAUGGCUGUUUUACGGUACAGUAAUGCUCCUUAAUGUAUAUUUAAAUAUGGUAACACUAUUUGUUAACACAGAAGAUAUGGAAUAUCAGACGGAUUAUCCAAUUAAUAAAACGAUUACUAAGAGACUUGGCCUCUAUUUUGUUUAAUAGUUUGUGCCGUUGGGUGUUUUACAAGUAAUUAACAAUAAUUUAGUCUUAUCAGUAAAGCUUUGCUCAAUUCACUUGAUUCGGUUAUAUGAGGCAAACUUGAUUCAAGCAGUUGAUGUUGCAUCAGCAUCGAGUAUUUGAUGACAUGCCUGAUGCCCUGCAGACUUAUUUACCAUAUUUACCUUUUGCUUCAUUCAAUUUGAACUUCAAAGCUGAACUUGACUGAUAGAAAUGUGUUUUUAUUCCAAGACAAUUGCUUAUUUUUCUUUCCAGUGUGCAUAUCCAUUUCCUCAAAUCUAUAUUGAUGAUUGAAUAGUACUAAACAAAUUGUAUUUGUUUUAUUGCUUCUUAUAUUUUGAAUUGAAGAAAGUCAUUUGAAUAGUCUUUCAAUCAUAAACCGCUCUUCCAGUCAUGAAUGAAGAGUAAAGUUGAUCUAUUUAUUGACUUUGAACAAAAUAAAACAUUCAUGCCAGUUCAUGCAUUUAUAGUGAUAUAAUAUCCGGUGCCUGGCACACUUGAUUGUUUGAUUAUCAAUGCAAGGUUUCAUGUUCUCAUGAUAAGACCCGACUAAUCGAACGAUGAAACGCUCCGGACUCCAUUAGCCGUGCUAACCAGAGGCCACACAAGUCUGAGUGAGCGGAGUUCAUUUUGUGUCAGUCGACGUUCGGGAAGUUCGAGCCAAUCAUUGUGAUUAUUUGUGAGGAAGACAAUUCCUGGUGAGAACCAGCGGCUCUGCAGAGUGUAACUCGGGCCGAUUAAGUUAUGACAACAACCCCACUGCGUCCGAGCCGUCCGGACUUCAAUGCCUGCAGAGCCGCGCGCCCUCUAACGGAGAUAAACACCUCUUCAGAACCCGUCAUCAAUACAGAGACUCAUAGAAAGUAGCACAGAAAUCUACUCGGGUGAAUUGGCUCCAGCUACUUCCUUUCCUGUCUGGGUGCUUAAUGCACUUUAUGUUUUUGCAGUAUAUAGUACACAUUGUUCUGGAUGAAGCCCUGUGCUACCAUGAACCAUGCAGGCCCUUCUAUAACGUUGAUCACCAUGGUGAUAUCUAUGUUAUUGUCACAGAAAGCCGUUUCCUUUCACCUGCGGUUAACAAUUAUCGUUUAGUUGUCUUUCCCCAAUUUUUCUGCGUGGGCCGAGUAGUGUGGCGCUCCGAUGGCUGUGUGUGUUAUCUCACACGUGCCAUGCCGUCUUUGUGUGGCGUAUAGUGCGCACGGGAGCUGUAGUGCUUGUGCGUGAGGGAAGGUGCGCACUGGUUUGUUGCGGUGAUGUUCGCUUCCCUCUUCCCAGCACCUUGUGUUUGCACGUCCCUGCGCCUGUGUGGAAGUUGUGUGGGCACCCUCUGGAUUGCCUCACCGCCGAAGCACGCCGGACCCUGUUAUCCAACAAUCCAUCUGUGUUAUUGAUUUCUUAUUUUUUUUUCCCCCCUCUUUGUAGAGUUUCAUCUUUCCUCCACUUUUCUAUGGAACGAGGGAGAGCGAGAGAGAAGGGAGGGGCGAGCGAGGGGGGAGAGCAGAGAUCUGAGAGCUGGUAGAAGAGGGGGAGGAGGAGGAGGAGGAGGAGGGAUGGAGCAGCGGUGGGGCUUCUGAGGGUAGGGGUGUAAGAGGUGGGGGGGGGGGCACAGCCUGGACUAUGGAUGAGCAGAGAGAAAGCGGCGCUCUUGAAGUGUUGGAGCAUUUUUUUUUUCC
Gasterosteus aculeatus aculeatus (three-spined stickleback) is the source of this 1985-nucleotide long non-coding RNA. The record is from Ensembl. Lineage: Eukaryota; Metazoa; Chordata; Actinopteri; Perciformes; Gasterosteidae.